GGUGGGGUUCCCGAGCGGCCAAAGGGAGCAGAUUGUAAAUCUGCCGUCAUCGACUUCGAAGGUUCGAAUCCUUCCCCCACCACCA
RNAcentral lists this transfer RNA (85 nucleotides) under Citrobacter freundii. RNAcentral's name for it is "tRNA-Tyr". It matches the Rfam family "tRNA". Rfam says of the family: Transfer RNA (tRNA) molecules are approximately 80 nucleotides in length. Lineage: Bacteria; Pseudomonadati; Pseudomonadota; Gammaproteobacteria; Enterobacterales; Enterobacteriaceae. RNAcentral also lists the same sequence under 8 other names. The record is from RNAcentral.